RNAcentral lists this ribosomal RNA (510 nucleotides) under uncultured bacterium. Its description in RNAcentral is "SSU rRNA". It matches the Rfam family "Bacterial small subunit ribosomal RNA", at positions 26 to 523 of the family's 1533-position model. The record is from RNAcentral.
AGGACGAACGCUGGCGGCGCGCUUAACACAUGCAAGUCGAGCGAGAACCAGGACUUCGGUCCUGGGGACAGCGGCGAACGGGUGAGUAACACGUGGGUAAUCUGCCCUCGAUUCUGGGAUAGCCCGGGGAAACCCGGAUUAAUACCGGAUAGCCUUUCGAGCUUUCGGGCGCGAAAGAAAAGGUAGCUUCGGCCUCCGAUCGAGGAUGAGCCCGCGGUGGAUUAGCUUGUUGGCGGGGUAAUGGCCCACCAAGGCGACGAUCCAUAGCUGGUCUGAGAGGACGAUCAGCCACACUGGGACUGAGACACGGCCCAGACUCCUACGGGAGGCAGCAGUGGGGAAUCUUGCGCAAUGGGCGAAAGCCUGACGCAGCGACGCCGCGUGGGGGAAGAAGGCCUUAGGGUUGUAAACCUCUUUCAGGUGGGACGAAGCCACUCGGGUUAAUAGCCCAGAGGGUGACGGUACCGCCAGAAGAAGCCCCGGCUAACUACGUGCCAGCAGCCGCGGUAA